CGGACAGUGUCUGGUGGGUAGUUUGACUGGGGCGGUCUCCUCCUAAAGAGUAACGGAGGAGCACGAAGGUUGGCUAAUCCUGGUCGGACAUCAGGAGGUUAGUGCAAUGGCAUAAGCCAGCUUGACUGCGAGCGUGACGGCGCGAGCAGGUGCGAAAGCAGGUCAUAGUGAUCCGGUGGUUCUGAAUGGAAGGGCCAUCGCUCAACGGAUAAAAGGUACUCCGGGGAUAACAGGCUGAUACCGCCCAAGAGUUCAUAUCGACGGCGGUGUUUGGCACCUCGAUGUCGGCUCAUCACAUCCUGGGGCUGAAGUAGGUCCCAAGGGUAUGGCUGUUCGCCAUUUAAAGUGGUACGCGAGCUGGGUUUAGAACGUCGUGAGACAGUUCGGUCCCUAUCUGCCGUGGGCGCUGGAGAACUGAGGGGGGCUGCUCCUAGUACGAGAGGACCGGAGUGGACGCAUCACUGGUGUUCGGGUUGUCAUGCCAAUGGCACUGCCCGGUAGCUAAAUGCGGAAGAGAUA
Molecule: ribosomal RNA, 519 nt
Filed under: Escherichia coli
Lineage: Bacteria; Pseudomonadati; Pseudomonadota; Gammaproteobacteria; Enterobacterales; Enterobacteriaceae
Description: partial 23S ribosomal RNA
Rfam family: Bacterial large subunit ribosomal RNA
Source: RNAcentral